RNAcentral lists this ribosomal RNA (519 nucleotides) under uncultured bacterium. Its description in RNAcentral is "bacterial SSU rRNA". It matches the Rfam family "Archaeal small subunit ribosomal RNA", at positions 345 to 866 of the family's 1478-position model. The record is from RNAcentral.
AACCUCCGCAAUGUGAGAAAUCGCGACGGGGGGAUCCCAAGUGCCAUUCUUAACGGGAUGGCUUUUCAUUAGUGUAAAGAGCUUUUGGAAUAAGAGCUGGGCAAGACCGGUGCCAGCCGCCGCGGUAACACCGGCAGCUCUAGUGGUAGCAAUUUUUAUUGGGCCUAAAGCGUCCGUAGCCGGUUUAAUAAGUCUCUGGUGAAAUCCUGUAGCUUAACUGUGGGAAUUGCUGGAGAUACUAUUAGACUUGAGACCGGGAGAGGUUAGAGGUACUCCCAGGGUAGAGGUGAAAUUCUGUAAUCCUGGGAGGACCGCCUGUUGCGAAGGCGUCUAACUGGAACGGUUCUGACGGUGAGGGACGAAAGUUAGGGGCGCGAAACCGGAUUAGAUACCCGGGUAGUCCUAACUGUAAACGAUGCGGACUUGGUGUUGGGUGGCUUUGAGCUGCUCCAGUGCCGAAGGAAGCUGUUAAGUCCGCCGCCUGGGAAGUACGGUCGCAGACUGAAACUUAAAGGAAUU